Onychostoma macrolepis is the source of this 1776-nucleotide long non-coding RNA. RefSeq lists it as uncharacterized. The transcript is spliced from 3 exons. Lineage: Eukaryota; Metazoa; Chordata; Actinopteri; Cypriniformes; Cyprinidae. The record is from RefSeq and is a predicted model, not a curated record.
CAAUGAACAUUAAUCAAUCCCAAAACAAAAUUAAAUUGCUGUAUAAAUUGCAUAUUCGUGGAGUAGGGCUAAAAAUAAUCGCCAAACAAUUUUGGGAAAACAACAAUGAGGGAGACAAAGUGAGUGUCCUAGUGGUUGCGAGCAUACCGGGAGCCAAUGGCAAGGCCGUGAUCCCUUUACUUAGCCCUUUAGAAAUUGAAGUGUUACAAGCAGGUAAUAAGUUUACUUCAUAGAUCGUAUAUUUGGUGCUAUUAUAUCGCUUAUUUGUUUCACUACGAUUUUACUGCACUAAACGUUUUACUUUUUUAAAUGAUAUACCUAAUUGUUAUUGUGGUGUGUUGUGUGCGUCAUUACAGCAGAGACAUCUCGUGAAAUCCGUCAGUCCGACGAUGAUCGAGUAAAGCAUUUGUUAGCCUUGUUAACGAUUCUUUGCAUCAACAACUGUUGUGUGGUUUUAACAGAAGUAAAUUCAGCAACAAUUGAAAAUGCUCUUUUCAGUAGCUGCGUCCCAAAUCGCGUACUUAUGCACUAUUUAUGACGUUUUGUAGUAUAAAUAGUGCAAGUACUGCGUUUACACUGAAAAUUCCAAAAAGAAAAAGUGCACUUUAAAUACCCGGAUGGUGCACUUAAAUAACCGAAAAAAUUAAGUCUAGAAUGUUGGACACUUUAUGCACUCAACGGUCGCAGCUUUUUUACGUAGCGGAAGGGGAGGAGCUAUCGGGCGCUUAAGAUUCAUUAGAAAAUGGCAGACGACACUCCGAUAUCGUACAAAUGUAAGUCGAUUUUUUUUUUCUAUCAGUCUACUUUGUGUGGUUUAAUUUAAAGAUUCACCAUUAUAUCUACAUAUAUUAUGUUGAAAUUUGUUAUUUACGAACUUUGUCUUAUCAAUCAUCAUAACUUCAAGUGUCAUGCUUCGGAUCCUUAAUAUAGAAACCCUCUUCAGUUUAUUUUCUUAAUACUUAAACGCUUAAAAAUUAAUAUAAUGUCCAUUGAUAGGCGUUAUUCAACAGUAGUGUUUUGUAAAAUCUCUCAUAGGGACCGAAGAAGAUACGUGCAAUCUUAUUAAUUGUCGCGCUGCUAACAACGAAUUGUUUACCGCAACCAAGGAUAUGAGGCAUUUAUCUCCCAGUAUGGCUUGGAGGGGAGUAUUACCCCAUCCUGGGCCAAGAAAAAAUGGGAGAACCUUAAACAAAAGUAUAAGGAUCUAAAGUGCCCCAAAACAGGAGUCAGCACUGAGGGGGGUGAGAGUACUGCUGCAUCCUGGAAGUGGUACAGUUUGAUGGAUGAGUCAGUUGGGGGCAGGCCAUCUGUGACUCCGCCUGUCCUCAUUGGCUCAUCCUCCCAGGAUGCAGUAGUGUGUUCACCUCCCUCAGUGUUGACUCAUGAAAGGAGCGAGGAGCCUAGAGUCACCCCCAAAAGGAGGACGAUAGAGGCCAAUGAUUCCCUAUAUGAGCUCGUCCAAGAGAUGCAGGAGAGGGAUGAAAGGCUAGAAAGAGAAAUGAUGGAGAGGGAGGACAGAAGAGAGAGAGAGAGGGAGGAGAGGCGAGAACGAGAGGCUCUGCUGAGGGAAGAGAGGAGAGACCGGGACAUGGCUGUGCGAGAUAGUCGCUUUUUGGCUAUUCUGGAGAGAUUAAUCAAUAAGUAGUGAGAUAAAAUAAAAUAAAAAAAGAGAUAUAGUGAGUAAAAACAGUGAGAAGUUUUAAUAAAGAAAUUCUACAAAUUAAUACAUAUGAAUAAAUAUAUUAAGAAAUUUGUGACUUACAUUUGUAAGUAAAU